This 2923-nucleotide ribosomal RNA is filed under the name Salmonella enterica subsp. enterica serovar Adjame. RNAcentral describes it as "23S ribosomal RNA". It matches the Rfam family "Bacterial large subunit ribosomal RNA". The record is from RNAcentral. Lineage: Bacteria; Pseudomonadati; Pseudomonadota; Gammaproteobacteria; Enterobacterales; Enterobacteriaceae.
GGGUUGUGAGGUUAAGCGACUAAGCGUACACGGUGGAUGCCCUGGCAGUCAGAGGCGAUGAAGGACGUGCUAAUCUGCGAUAAGCGCCGGUAAGGUGAUAUGAACCGUUAUAACCGGCGAUUUCCGAAUGGGGAAACCCAGUGUGACUCGUCACACUAUCAUUAACUGAAUCCAUAGGUUAAUGAGGCGAACCGGGGGAACUGAAACAUCUAAGUACCCCGAGGAAAAGAAAUCAACCGAGAUUCCCCCAGUAGCGGCGAGCGAACGGGGAGGAGCCCAGAGCCUGAAUCAGCAUGUGUGUUAGUGGAAGCGUCUGGAAAGGCGCGCGAUACAGGGUGACAGCCCCGUACACAAAAGCGCAUGUGCUGUGAGCUCGAUGAGUAGGGCGGGACACGUGGUAUCCUGUCUGAAUAUGGGGGGACCAUCCUCCAAGGCUAAAUACUCCUGACUGACCGAUAGUGAACCAGUACCGUGAGGGAAAGGCGAAAAGAACCCCGGCGAGGGGAGUGAAAAAGAACCUGAAACCGUGUACGUACAAGCAGUGGGAGCACCCUUCGGGGUGUGACUGCGUACCUUUUGUAUAAUGGGUCAGCGACUUAUAUUCUGUAGCAAGGUUAACCGUAUAGGGGAGCCGCGGGGAAACCGAGUCUUAACCGGGCGUUAAGUUGCAGGGUAUAGACCCGAAACCCGGUGAUCUAGCCAUGGGCAGGUUGAAGGUUGGGUAACACUAACUGGAGGACCGAACCGACUAAUGUUGAAAAAUUAGCGGAUGACCUGUGGCUGGGGGUGAAAGGCCAAUCAAACCGGGAGAUAGCUGGUUCUCCCCGAAAGCUAUUUAGGUAGCGCCUCGUGAAUUCAUCUCCGGGGGUAGAGCACUGUUUCGGCUAGGGGGCCAUCCCGGCUUACCAACCCGAUGCAAACUGCGAAUACCGGAGAAUGUUAUCACGGGAGACACACGGCGGGUGCUAACGUCCGUCGUGAAGAGGGAAACAACCCAGACCGCCAGCUAAGGUCCCAAAGUCAUGGUUAAGUGGGAAACGAUGUGGGAAGGCCCAGACAGCCAGGAUGUUGGCUUAGAAGCAGCCAUCAUUUAAAGAAAGCGUAAUAGCUCACUGGUCGAGUCGGCCUGCGCGGAAGAUGUAACGGGGCUAAACCAUGCACCGAAGCUGCGGCAGCGACGCUUAUGCGUUGUUGGGUAGGGGAGCGUUCUGUAAGCCUGCGAAGGUGGCCUGUGAGGGUUGCUGGAGGUAUCAGAAGUGCGAAUGCUGACAUAAGUAACGAUAAAGCGGGUGAAAAGCCCGCUCGCCGGAAGACCAAGGGUUCCUGUCCAACGUUAAUCGGGGCAGGGUGAGUCGACCCCUAAGGCGAGGCCGAAAGGCGUAGUCGAUGGGAAACGGGUUAAUAUUCCCGUACUUGGUGUUACUGCGAAGGGGGGACGGAGAAGGCUAUGUUGGCCGGGCGACGGUUGUCCCGGUUUAAGCGUGUAGGUGUGUGUUCCAGGUAAAUCCGGUUCACUUUAACACUGAGGCGUGACGACGAGGCACUACGGUGCUGAAGCAACAAAUGCCCUGCUUCCGGAAAAGCCUCUAAGCAUCAGGUAACAUCAAAUCGUACCCCAAACCGACACAGGUGGUCAGGUAGAGAAUACCAAGGCGCUUGAGAGAACUCGGGUGAAGGAACUAGGCAAAAUGGUGCCGUAACUUCGGGAGAAGGCACGCUGACACGUAGGUGAAGUGAUUUACUCAUGGAGCUGAAGUCAGUCGAAGAUACCAGCUGGCUGCAACUGUUUAUUAAAAACACAGCACUGUGCAAACACGAAAGUGGACGUAUACGGUGUGACGCCUGCCCGGUGCCGGAAGGUUAAUUGAUGGGGUCAGCGCAAGCGAAGCUCCUGAUCGAAGCCCCGGUAAACGGCGGCCGUAACUAUAACGGUCCUAAGGUAGCGAAAUUCCUUGUCGGGUAAGUUCCGACCUGCACGAAUGGCGUAAUGAUGGCCAGGCUGUCUCCACCCGAGACUCAGUGAAAUUGAACUCGCUGUGAAGAUGCAGUGUACCCGCGGCAAGACGGAAAGACCCCGUGAACCUUUACUAUAGCUUGACACUGAACAUUGAGCCUUGAUGUGUAGGAUAGGUGGGAGGCUUUGAAGCGUGGACGCCAGUCUGCGUGGAGCCGACCUUGAAAUACCACCCUUUAAUGUUUGAUGUUCUAACGUGGACCCGUGAUCCGGGUUGCGGACAGUGUCUGGUGGGUAGUUUGACUGGGGCGGUCUCCUCCUAAAGAGUAACGGAGGAGCACGAAGGUUGGCUAAUCCUGGUCGGACAUCAGGAGGUUAGUGCAAUGGCAUAAGCCAGCUUGACUGCGAGCGUGACGGCGCGAGCAGGUGCGAAAGCAGGUCAUAGUGAUCCGGUGGUUCUGAAUGGAAGGGCCAUCGCUCAACGGAUAAAAGGUACUCCGGGGAUAACAGGCUGAUACCGCCCAAGAGUUCAUAUCGACGGCGGUGUUUGGCACCUCGAUGUCGGCUCAUCACAUCCCGGGCUGAAGUAGGUCCCAAGGGUAUGGCUGUUCGCCAUUUAAAGUGGUACGCGAGCUGGGUUUAGAACGUCGUGAGACAGUUCGGUCCCUAUCUGCCGUGGGCGCUGGAGAACUGAGGGGCUGCUCCUAGUACGAGAGGACCGGAGUGGACGCAUCACUGGUGUUCGGGUUGUCAUGCCAAUGGCACUGCCCGGUAGCUAAAUGCGGAAGAGAUAAGUGCUGAAAGCAUCUAAGCACGAAACUUGCCCCGAGAUGAGUUCUCCCUGAGACUUUAGGUCUCCUGAAGGAACGUUGAAGACGACGACGUUGAUAGGCCGGGUGUGUAAGCGCAGCGAUGCGUUGAGCUAACCGGUACUAAUGAACCGUGAGGCUUAACCUUACAACGCCGAAG